Molecule: long non-coding RNA, 301 nt
Filed under: Sorghum bicolor (sorghum)
Lineage: Eukaryota; Viridiplantae; Streptophyta; Magnoliopsida; Poales; Poaceae
Description: long non-coding RNA (SBIC_LNC017299)
Source: RNAcentral
GGUUCCCUUGGUGCCCUCAAAUGUUUCUUCUAGCUUUGCCCGUGCAUCAUGAGAAAUCUCAAUGUUUUUGAUUUGCUCAAAGGUCUUGUCAUCAAGAGCUUCAUGAAGAGCACUAAUGGCAAUAUCAUUGCAUUGUAGCUUCUUCUCGUCUACCGGUGUUGGUGCAUUCUCACUUGCAACCUCAAACUUUGUUUCAGUCACCUUCCAAACCUCUCUAUUGAUUGACUUGAGAUGGGCAGUUAUCUUGACCUUCCAAUAUGCAUAAUUGGUGCCAUCAAAGUAAGGUGCCUUCUUAGUGUUG